This is a long non-coding RNA of Carassius gibelio (silver crucian carp), 3290 nucleotides long. RefSeq lists it as uncharacterized. The record is from RefSeq and is a predicted model, not a curated record. NCBI's taxonomy places the organism in Eukaryota, Metazoa, Chordata, Actinopteri, Cypriniformes, Cyprinidae. The transcript is spliced from 3 exons.
UUGGCCUUCAGAGGUGUUCAGGCCAGGACUCUUAUCAAACAUGUGAAGUUUGGGGAAGAUUGAACAUUUUAUGCUUGAGUUACAACAACUUCUCUUGCUGUGGCAAGACAUCAAAUUUUGUCAUGGCGCCAUGGAAACGCCCUUUAACAAAAACUCAAGAUCUCCAAAAGUUAACAUUGCACAGGCCUUUAGAUUAGACUGACCACAAAAUAUAUGUUAAUCUCAAAAUAAUUAUAGGAGUAGUUUGUUGCAGCGUAAAACAUGUCACUUCCUGUUGCCAAUAGGUGGCGCUAUGACUAUAACUGAAUGUGGGCAUGUAGAUCUGUUAAGGGCAGAAGUUUUAUCUAACAUGUGAAGUUUGGGGCAGAUUGGACAUUGUAUGUCUGAGUUACAGCAACUUCCUUUUUCAUGGCGAAACAUCGAAAUUUGUCAGGCCGCCAUGGACACGCCCUUUAACGAAAUCUAAAGAUCUUCGCAAUUUAACAUCGCAAAGGGCUUAAGAUUAAACUGACCAGGUUUGGUGUUGAUCUGAAUAAAUCUCUAGGAGGAGUUCGUUAAAGUACAACCCCUGAAAAUGGCAAAAACAACGCCAAUUUUGCAGAGAAAAUUCUAAAUAACCGACUUCCUGUUGGGAUUCGGAUUUCGUACCAAGAGACUUUUUUGUAGGUAUUGGUGUGUUACAUGUGUGUACCGAUUUUUGUACAUGUACGUGAAACAUAGCUCGAGGCGCACUCCAUUGAAAGUGCAUAUGCACUCCGUUGAAAGUGUAUAGGUGGCGCUAUCGAGCCAUUUUGCCACACCCAAUGGAAUAUUUGCCUUCAUGUCUGUUCAGGCCAGGACCCUUAUCACACAUUUAAAGUUUGGGGAAGAUCGGACAUUUUAUGCCUGAGUUAUAACAUAUUUUAUUCCCAUGGCGAGACAUCGAAUUUCGUCGCGGCGCCAUGGACACGCCUUUUAACAUAAUCUCAAGAUCUUCACAACUAAACAUCACACAGGUCUUUAGAUUAGACUGACCACAAAAAAGACAUUGAUGUCAUAACAUUUCUGGAAAUAGUUUGUCGCAGUGUAAAAUAUGUCACUUCCUGUUGCCAAUAGGUGGCGCUAUGACUAUAACUGAAUAUUGGCAUGUAGAUUUGUUCAGGUCAAGAGUCUUAUCCAACAUGUGUAGUUUGGGGCAGAUUGGACAUUGUAUGUCUGAGUUACAGCAACUUCCUUUUUAUGGCGAAACAUCGAAAUUUGUCAGGCCGCCAUGGACACGCCCUUUAACGAAACCUCAAGUCCUUCGCAAUUUAACAUCGCAAAUGGCUUUAGAUUACACUGACCAAGUUUGGUGUUGAUCUGAAUAAAUCUCUAGGAGGAGUUCGUUAAAGUACAACCCCUGAAAAUGGCAAAAACAGCACCAAUUUUGCAGGGAAAAUUCAAAAUAACCGACUUCCUGUUGGGAUCCGGAUUUCGUACCAAGAGACUUUUUUGUAGGUAUUGGAGUGUUACAUGUGUGUACCAAUUUUUGUACAUGUACGUGAAACAUAGCUCGAGGCGCACUCCGUUUAAAGUGUAUACGCACUCCGUUGAAAGUGUAUAGGUGGCGCUAUCGAGCCAUUUUGCCACACUCUAUGGAAUAUUGGCCUUCAGAUCUGUUUAGGCCAGGACCCUUAUCACACAUGUGAAGUUUGGGCAAGAACGGACAUUUUAUGCCUGAGUUAUAACAUCUUUUAUUCCCGUGGCGAGACAUUGAACUUCAUCACGGCGCCAUGGACACGCCUUUUAACAAAAAUUCAAGAUCUUCACAACUAAACAUCACACAGGUCUUUAGAUUAGACUGACCACAAAAAAGACAUUGAUGUCAUAACAUUUCUAGGAGUAGUUUGUCGCAGUGUAAAAUAUUUAACUUCCUGUUGCCAAUAGGUGGCGCUAUGACUAUAACUGAAUAUUGGCAUGUAGAUCUGUUCAGGUCAAGAGUCUUAUCCAACAUUUGAAGUUUGGGGCAGAUUGGACAUUGUAUGUCUGAGUUACAGCAACUUCCUUUUUCAUGGCGAAACAUCGAAAUUUGUCAGGCCGCCAUGGACCCGCCCUUUAACGAAACCUCAAGUCCUUCGCAAUUUAUUAUUGCAAAGGGCUUUAGAUUACACUGACCAAGUUUGGUAUUGAUCUGAAUAAAUCUCUAGGAGGAGUUCGUUAAAGUACAACCCCUGAAAAUGGCAAAAACAACAGCAAUUUUGAAGGGAAAAUUCAAAAUAACCGACUUCCUGUUGGGAUCCGGAUUUCGUACCAAGAGACUUUUUUGUAGGUAUUGGAGUGUUACAUGUGUGUACCAAUUUUUGUACAUGUACGUGAAACAUAGCUCGAGGCGCACUCCGUUGAAAGUGUAUAGGUGGCGCUAUAGAGCCAUUCUGCCACACCCGGUGGAAUAUUGGCCUGAAGAUCUGUUCAGGCCAGGACUCUUAUCACACAUGUGAAGUUUGGGGAAGAUCGGACAUCUUAUGCCUGAGUUAUAACAUCUUUUAUUCGCAUGGCGAGACAUCGAACUUCGUCGCGGCGCCAUGAACAAGCCUUUUAACGAAAACUCAAGAUCUUCACAACUGAACAUCGCACAGGCCUUUAGAUUAGACUGACCACAAAAAAGACAUUGAUGUCAUAAAAUUUCUAGGAGUAGUUCGUCGCAGCGUAAAAUAUGUCACUUCCUGUUGCCAAUAGGUGGCGCUAUGACUAUAACUGAAUAUGGGCAUGUCAAUCUGUUCAGGUUCGGAGUCUCAUCAAACAUGUGAAGUUUGGGGCAGAUUGUUCAUUGUAUGUGUGAGUUAUAGCAACUUCAUUUUUCAUGGCGAAUCAUCGAAAUUCGCCAGGCCGCCACGGACACGCCCUUCAACGAAAAGUCAGGAUCUUCGCAAUUUAACAUCGCAAAGGCCUUUAGAUUAGGCAUACCAAAUUUGGUGUUGAUUUGAAGAACUCUCUAGGAGGAGUUCGUUAAAAUACAACACAUGGAAAUGACCAAAAUUACACAAAAUAUGCUCAUAAUAUUAAAAAUAACCGACUUCCUGUUGGGUUUAGAAUUUCGCUCCAAGAGUCUUUUUUGUAGGUAUUGGUGUGUUACAUAUGUGUGCCAAUUUUCGUGCAUGUACGUGAAACAUAGCUGGAAGGCUGUUGAUUUUCUUGGUAUAGGUGGCGCUGUCGAGCCAUUUUGCCACACCCUCUUCUGAAUCCUAUAUCAGACGAAAAUUUUCACCAGGUUUGACGAGUGUGCAAAGUUUCAUGACUUUUUGAGCAUGUUAAAGCCCUCAAAAAUGCGAUUC